CCUACGGGAGGCUGCAGUGGGGGAUAUUGCACAAUGGGGGGAACCCUGAUGCAGCGACGCCGCGUGGGUGAAGGAGUGCUUCGGCAUGUAAAGCCCUAUCGGCAGGGAAGAAGCAAGACGGUACCUGACUAAGAAGCCCCGGCUAACUACGUGCCAGCAGCCGCGGUAAUACGUAGGGGGCGCGCGUUAUCCGGAUUCACUGGGUGUAAAGGGAGCGUAGACGGCCAGGCAAGCCAGGGGUGAAGGCCCGGGGCCCAACCCCGGGACUGCCCUUGGAACUGUGCGGCUAGAGUGCGGGAGGGGCAGGCGGAAUUCCUGGUGUAGCGGUGAAAUGCGUAGAUAUCAGGAGGAACACCGGCGGCGAAGGCGGCCUGCUGGACUGCGACUGACGUUGAGGCUCGAAAGCGUGGGGAGCGAACAGGAUUAGAUACCCCAGUAGUC
This 441-nucleotide ribosomal RNA is filed under the name uncultured bacterium. Its description in RNAcentral is "partial 16S ribosomal RNA". It matches the Rfam family "Bacterial small subunit ribosomal RNA", at positions 338 to 795 of the family's 1533-position model. The record is from RNAcentral.